GGCGACUGCUGCAGAUUCAGGAGCUUUUGCACACAUAGGGUUCUACUCCCUAUGUUAGGUAUCAGGAGACGGGCAGGUUCUACUCCCACUCCUAUAGAACUUCCCUUCACCAGUUAUAGUGGAGGUCGAAAGACACGGAAAGACGAGGACAGCCCACAUAAGCGAAGUAAAGGCUUUUUACGAGAGGGGAGACGAACUUCCCGGAAGCAGCAAACAACCCCCCAGCGAAAAUACGAAGAACCGAAACAAAGGCACAGAGACGAAGGAAGGAAAAAUAAUUAAGAGAAGUUUUGGGAGGAAAGGGGUAGAUAAACAAACAAACUUGAGGAAGAUUGAAGAGAAGAAUUACAGAGGGCAAACGAUAUAUGAGAGGGAAAUUUGUGUAGGAAAUGCUA
Molecule: long non-coding RNA, 395 nt
Organism: Rhagoletis pomonella (apple maggot)
Lineage: Eukaryota; Metazoa; Arthropoda; Insecta; Diptera; Tephritidae
Exons: 2
Source: RefSeq, a predicted model, not a curated record